RNAcentral lists this ribosomal RNA (498 nucleotides) under uncultured bacterium. RNAcentral describes it as "partial 16S ribosomal RNA". It matches the Rfam family "Bacterial small subunit ribosomal RNA", at positions 28 to 507 of the family's 1533-position model. The record is from RNAcentral.
GACGAACGCUGGCGGCGUGCCUAAUACAUGCAAGUCGAACGAGAGCGACCGGUGCUUGCACUGGUCAAUCUAGUGGCGAACGGGUGAGUAACACGUGGGUAACCUGCCCAUCAGAGGGGGAUAACAUCCGGAAACAGAUGCUAAAACCGCAUAGGUCUUCGAGCCGCAUGGCUUGAAGAGGAAAAGAGGCGCAAGCUUCUGCUGAUGGAUGGACCCGCGGUGCAUUAGCUAGUUGGUGAGGUAACGGCUCACCAAGGCCGUGAUGCAUAGCCGACCUGAGAGGGUGAUCGGCCACAUUGGGACUGAGACACGGCCCAAACUCCUACGGGAGGCAGCAGUAGGGAAUCUUCCGCAAUGGACGCAAGUCUGACGGAGCAACGCCGCGUGAGUGAAGAAGGUUUUCGGAUCGUAAAACUCUGUUGUUAGAGAAGAACAAGUGCUAGAGUAACUGUUAGCGCCUUGACGGUAUCUAACCAGAAAGCCACGGCUAACUACGUG